AGUGAACGCUGGCGGUAGGCCUAACACAUGCAAGUCGAACGGCAGCACAGUAAGAGCUUGCUCUUACGGGUGGCGAGUGGCGGACGGGUGAGGAAUACAUCGGAAUCUACUUUUUCGUGGGGGAUAACGUAGGGAAACUUACGCUAAUACCGCAUACGACCUACGGGUGAAAGCAGGGGAUCUUCGGACCUUGCGCGAUUGAAUGAGCCGAUGUCGGAUUAGCUAGUUGGCGGGGUAAAGGCCCACCCAGGCGACGAUCCGUAGCUGGUCUGAGAGGAUGAACCGGCAACCUGGCAAUGAGGAACGGGCCCGACCCCUACGGGGAGCAACAGUGGGGAAUAUUGGGCGAUGGGGCCAAGGCUGAUCCAGGCAAACCGCGGGGGUGAAGAAGGCCUUCGGGUUGGUAAGCCCUUUUGUUGGGAAAGAAAAGCAGCAGGUUAAAACCCCGCUGUUCUGACGGUACCCAAAUAAUAAGCCCCGGCUAACUUCGUG
This 492-nucleotide ribosomal RNA is filed under the name uncultured bacterium. Its description in RNAcentral is "partial 16S ribosomal RNA". It matches the Rfam family "Bacterial small subunit ribosomal RNA", at positions 29 to 507 of the family's 1533-position model. The record is from RNAcentral.